GCCCUCCUGGGGUGCCUCUCAGGGACCCAGGCGCUCAGCUGCUGGGGCCGCGGAGGGCGUUCGCGGGGCGCCGGGGAAGGCUAGGGCCGCGGGGUCCCCGGGGCGCCGUCCCCAACCGCCGACGCCUGCCAGACCACCAAGUGGGGGCCAUGUCGACGUGUGAGGAGCCUGGUGGAAGGUGAUACUGGAAUUCCGGCACUGGGCCUGCAACCCUUUUAGUCCACAGUUGUCAGAAUCUAAAGGGAAGAAAAACGAAGUGCUCAGAACCCUCACAGAAGCCGGGCACCUCAUCCCGUGUGUGGGUUUUUUCCCCAGUACAAACCCAUUGUGGGGACAGGCGCUUUUGAAGAAAAAAUUCAGAUUCCCGGGCUGAAGUGGCUCCUCACAGCCUUGAACCUGACCCCCAGCUUCCCGCUAAAGCCGAGCGUGCCCAGCACGGCGAGGUCAGCAGAGGCCCCUCGGAGGGCGGCCGGGGGAGGUCAGUGGGAGGCCCUCGGGCAGCCGGUGGAUGGGCCGGCGACCUCCCCGACUCCAUCAGAAGCGCUCAGUCUGUGCCCUUCAGUUACUGGAGCAGCUCCCGUCCUUUGGCCAGUUCUCUGGAAGGUCGUUUCCGUUUCUGUGUCUGCCACACGUGCAGCACAAUCGAAAAACCUUGUUCGACAUUUCUAGAAAGAGUAGAUGCUACUGAAGACCCAAUAGAUUGCUGAGGGUUUUCAGAGCAGGGACAAUUGCAUCAGGGUGCUGGGCUCCGGGAAGAACUCAGAGGACUUGGCUGACGGGCGGAUGGGACAGUGAUUGGUGCCGAGAAUGGGCCAGAGAAGCAGGUCUGCCUGGAGCAGGCACCCGAGGCCGCGUGCAGGGGCGGUCCUGGGCCACCAACCCCUGGAAGCUGGGCCAGGAGCUUCGGAGCCAUCCGAGGCUUUUUUCGCUCCUCUCACUCUCAUGCACCUAGUUACCCUCCCCACAGAGUCUUCUCACGGCGCGGUUUUCGGCUACCAUUGCAGUGGUGUCUGACUACACCCAGUGCCUCUAUCGUUCCCCCCUCAGUCUGUUCUCGCUUCUUGGCAAACCUGUCCUUGGAAAGCCCUCUGCUGACUCCUGUUACCCUGAUCAAAUGCAUCCUCCUCAGGAGGCUCGUGAGCCCUUUGCAGGGUGGCCCAAGAGGCAUCACGCCCUGCUCUCCAGCCACUCUUGGGGUCCCCUACAGGGCCAGGCGUCCCACACCAGCAGCGGGUGCUGGUCCUGCCACAGUCUGUGCGACACGUGAAUGAAGGCUGUAGACCUGUGGUCUGCGGGAGGCAAAUUCCAACUCCAGCUGUCAAACAUAAGGGGACUGGUAGGCUCUCCAGGGUGGAUUGUCUCACGGCAUCCAGAGGCAGGGACCGAGGCAGGGACCUAGCCAGGCCUCGGGAAGGAGCUGCAAACCCAGGAGCUCUGGGGUGUGGCUUCAUCUCCCUCCCUCCCUACCACCCUACCCCCAUCUCUCCGUGUUCUUCAGAUGCCUCAUUUUCCUGUCAGGCACCUGGCCAGCUCUAGGAGCUGGAAUCAGGUUGGUGCCUCCUUGGUCAGUGUCCACCCCUAGUGUCAUCCACAGUGACCAACGGAAGGGGUGGCCGGUGGUACAGGACAUUGGCCAUCUUGGGAAAGAUCACAGAGACAGGAAGGGCCUCUCCAGCUGAGCAGAUGAGAGGUUCUUCAGUGGUCUGGACACAUUUGCCCACUCAUGGCCGUCCCCCUGCCCUGUUGAGAGAACCGAUGAGGAAAGGGAGCCCUGCAUCUGUCGCCUUCCGACUCCGACCGCCUGAGGCUGGGCUGCCGGCAAGCCGCGGCAGCAUAUGACAGCACUUGAAAGAAAGUCCCUGGAAAGAAUGUGGAUCAUUGCAGAACUCCCUCAAGAAAGCGCCAGAGGAGGACCCCAUUCAGCACCCCGCAGAACUCCUCAAACUCCUGCGUCCACACUCCCCCAGCGUGGUGGCUGCUUCUAUCUCCCCAGGCUUAGCUGGCCUGGGUCUUGAAGGCCUCUCCUCCUGCUGUCCCCACGCAGCAUCCUCUCUGCCACUGCACAGCUGGAUGCAGUGAAGGCCAGGCGGCUGUGGCUGCUUGGGCAACAGGAGCUGCUUGACCCUGUUCUGCUGGCCUUGUUGGCCUCACUCCCGUAGAGAGCCAAGGUUACCCACGUCUCUGAAGCUAAGGCUUUCUUUCUAGGCCUGGGGGAGUCACAUCUUGCAUUCGUACUCACUGAGCUCCACGUCUAUGGCCCUGGUGUGUGAUGUUGCCCGCACUGUGUCCAAGUGUUCUCAUUGUUCAAUUCCCACCUGUGCCAACUCCUGGGAUCUUAUCGGGAAGUGGCUCAUCAUCAGCUUUAGGUGUUUUCUAUCUAUUGGGAGCCUGCCUUUCUCUGGCACCAGCUGCAACCAAUAAUUAUUUUAGACAGUUUAACAACAGCUUGACCAUCACCUGAUGAUCACCUGACAUUUCUGUUGGGGCGCGGGCCCAUCUCCUGCCCCGCUCAUGUGGGGCUCAGUCUGCCCAACCUUUCCCCAAGGGCCUGUCUUUACUUCAUUUGUGGUAAGCCCCAAGCAGAAUGGACUCUUGUUAUGAUCCCAGGAACUGCUCACGGCCACCUCUGUGGAUGAACACCUAGCGGCUGCUCUAAAUACAUGCUGUGAAAGUUGUCAGAAUCAAAAUGGAGUCACUAAUGUUAAGAAAGCCCUGACAAAGAGUUGGUGGGGAAGGCCACGAAGAGAGGACACUUAUGCUUGCAUGCCUGAUACCAGAAAGGACUACAAAAACCACAGCCCGGCACAGAGGCCAUCACACCCUUACACAAAAAAUAUUUCUGCAAGGACAACUGCCCAGCAAUUGCCUGUCCAACCUCAGACUGGAAUGACCUUUGUUAUUGAUGUUUGUAGCCAAGGAGAAUUAUCUCAAAACCACUGUGAUCCUGCUCGCUUUUCCUUUAAAGACCUUUGUCUUCCUUGACCUCCCUGAAUAGGCAUAUGGUUUACUAUGGCGUGUGUACUCUCCUUGUAAUGUUCUGUUCUCAAGCUAACAUCUAUUCUUCUAGAGAACCUCUCUCUUAGGCUGACAACGCUGUGGAUCUGGGCUCCCAGGAACUGGGGCUGACAUCAGAGGGGUGGAAAGAGAACAGCAGCUCUCCCUGAGGGGAUGCUUGCCAAGGAUAAGGAGACGAUGGUUCUCUAAGGAUUAUUUUAUAUUCAUCUAAAAGGGUAUUUUUGUUGUUACCCCUAGCCUUUUUUCCCUUUUAAUUUUCUGAUGAAUAAUUUAUAUAAAGAAAACCC
Molecule: long non-coding RNA, 3302 nt
Organism: Homo sapiens (human)
Lineage: Eukaryota; Metazoa; Chordata; Mammalia; Primates; Hominidae
Source: Ensembl